GAUGAAGAACGUAGCGAAAUGCGAAAAGUAGUGUGAAUUGCAGAAUUCAGUGAAUCAUCGAAUCUUUGAACGCACAUUGCGCCCGCCAGUAUUCUGGCGGGCAUGCCUGUUCGAGCGUCAUUUCAACCCUCAGGCCCCCAGUGCCUGGCGUUGGGGAUCGGCGCGGCGCCCUCCGGGGCGCUGCCGGCCCCGAAAUUCAGUGGCGGUCUCGCUGUAGCCCUCCUCCGCGUAGUAGCACGACCUCGCGGCCUGGAGCUCGGCGGUGGCCAUGCCGUAAAACACCCCACUUCUGAAAGUUGACCUCGGAUCAGGUAGGAAUACCCGCUGAACUUAAGCAUAUCAAUAAGCGGAGGA
RNAcentral lists this unclassified non-coding RNA (354 nucleotides) under soil metagenome. RNAcentral describes it as "partial contains 5.8S ribosomal RNA, internal transcribed spacer 2, and large subunit ribosomal RNA". The stretch from base 1 to 120 matches the Rfam family "5.8S ribosomal RNA", at positions 35 to 154 of the family's 154-position model. The record is from RNAcentral.